This 233-nucleotide unclassified non-coding RNA is filed under the name uncultured Geminibasidium. RNAcentral describes it as "sequence contains ITS1". The record is from RNAcentral. Lineage: Eukaryota; Fungi; Basidiomycota; Geminibasidiomycetes; Geminibasidiales; Geminibasidiaceae.
CCGAGUUCUCGACGUCGGGGUUUGAUGCUGGCCCCCCUUUCCCCGCUCUCGGGGGGGUGGGUUGCACCGUGCUCGCCCUGCCUGUCAUCCACUCUUUACACACCUGUGCACCCUUCUGAAGCGGAGAGUUAUUAGGCAUUAGCCGAGCGCCUCCCUUCGGUUAUUAUAUCAACCUCAAACUACGUUUACUAGAAUGUAUACCGUCUUGUUGUAACGACAAGUACAAUCCAAUA